GAUGAACGCUGACAGAAUGCUUAACACAUGCAAGUCCACUUGAAUUUGGGUUUUUACCUUAGGUUUGGGUGGCGGACGGGUGAGUAACGCGUAAAGAACUUGCCUCACAGCUAGGGACAACAUUUGGAAACGAAUGCUAAUACCUAAUAUUAUGAUAAUAGGGCAUCCUAUAAUUAUGAAAGCUAUAAGCGCUGUGAGAGAGCUUUGCGUCCCAUUAGCUAGUUGGAGAGGUAACGGCUCACCAAGGCGAUGAUGGGUAGCCGGCCUGAGAGGGUGAUCGGCCACAAGGGGACUGAGACACGGCCCUUACUCCUACGGGAGGCAGCAGUGGGGAAUAUUGGACAAUGGACCAAGAGUCUGAUCCAGCAAUUCUGUGUGCACGAUGAAGUUUUUCGGAAUGUAAAGUGCUUUCAGUUGGGAAGAAAGAAAUGACGGUACCAACAGAAGAAGUGACGGCUAAAUACGUG
RNAcentral lists this ribosomal RNA (467 nucleotides) under uncultured bacterium. Its description in RNAcentral is "partial 16S ribosomal RNA". It matches the Rfam family "Bacterial small subunit ribosomal RNA", at positions 28 to 507 of the family's 1533-position model. The record is from RNAcentral.